RNAcentral lists this ribosomal RNA (201 nucleotides) under uncultured bacterium. RNAcentral's name for it is "partial 16S ribosomal RNA". It matches the Rfam family "Bacterial small subunit ribosomal RNA", at positions 524 to 722 of the family's 1533-position model. The record is from RNAcentral.
UACGUAGGGUGCAAGCGUUAAUCGGAAUACUGGGCGUAAAGCGUGCGCAGGCGGUGAUGUAAGACAGAUGUGAAAUCCCCGGGCUCAACCUGGGAACUGCAUUUGUGACUGCAUCGCUGGAGUACGGCAGAGGGGGGAUGGAAUUCCGGCGUGUAGCAGUGAAAUGCGUAGAUAUGCGGAGGAACACCGAUGGCGAACGGC